UUGGGUUUAUCAGGCUUCUUCAAGGGCACUGAACUUUCCCACAGCGCUCUGUCCUUUUCUGUCCCUUUGGGACUUUGCUGUUGCGUCAAGGCUCUGCUAUUCAUUCCGUGUACUUCCCACAGUAUUAUUGUACCACUGCAGCGGAGCAUGUUGUGGUGACUAUGACUAAACUAUCCACCAUGUGCCUGUUAGGAAUAAUGACUGUGUGUAUGACAACAUCUAUCAUUGUCUUUGUUGCAAAACGAGUUUGUCAUAGAUGAAGUUCAAGUUGAGCUCCUCUCGGCGAGCUGUUCUCUGAGGCAAGGCUUUGAAGUGGAUGAGGGAGGCGAGGCAUCGUGUGCCCAGAUGCCCAGACACUGUGGUUUUAAGGGGGCUUUAUCACACAGACAGGGGGGACAGCAAUCAUCUCCUGCCCUCCCAUCUUUCACCGUGGCGGGAGGCUGAAUGUGACAACCAAUGCUCCCCAGCUGCUCAGCGGCCAGAGUCCGCAAAACCACAGGCGGAUAAUGAAUGCCACACCAUCGUGACAACUUGCACUUUUAUGGAAAGGGGAGGAAGGACAACUCUGGCACAGACACUAACGGCAUAUGAUGAAACAUCCACCAUAAACCAGACAAUCAAAGAGAGGGCAUUGAAGCAUCCGAGGAAUCCAGGACGGGAACCUCGGCUGAUUUAUGACCACUACAAAAAUAAGGGGGCUGUUUCCAAGUAAAUGUGUUUAAAAAAAAAAAAGAAAUAUCACUUUCCAAAUGUAACCACAACAUCUGUAAACGAUGCGUUACAGUUGCAUUUAUCCAUGAUCUUCCCUACUUUCCUGAUCUGAAUAAGCCACACGCUAUCUAUGAACAAUUUCCCCCAACAUUUAGAGACUUGAGGUUUUCCAAUUGGGUCAGUAUUUUCUAUUCUUGGCUUGUCCUUCCUCUCGCAGUCACGAUAUUUUGUAUUCUAUACAUCACAGAAAUGUUUCAAUACACCCUUUUGCUUUCAAGGCAAACAUUACUAGAAAAGGAGUAGCUUUGAUCUUCUUCCAAUAGCAACCCUGAAAUAUCUUCUAAAUAAAAGGCGAUAUAAAUAUGCAUGUUCACUCA
This is a long non-coding RNA of Dicentrarchus labrax (European seabass), 1088 nucleotides long. RefSeq lists it as uncharacterized. The record is from RefSeq and is a predicted model, not a curated record. NCBI's taxonomy places the organism in Eukaryota, Metazoa, Chordata, Actinopteri, Moronidae. The transcript is spliced from 2 exons.